RNAcentral lists this unclassified non-coding RNA (240 nucleotides) under soil metagenome. RNAcentral describes it as "partial contains 5.8S ribosomal RNA, internal transcribed spacer 2, and large subunit ribosomal RNA". The record is from RNAcentral.
AACGCACGAGACCUGCGGACCUGCGGAGGGAUCAUUAAUGAAUCAAAAAGUCGGUGGAUUGUGCUGGCACUCCUGCAUGUGCACAUUCAUUGGCAAUCAUCCACACACCUUGUGCACACCUAGACCAACAGAGGUUCGUCAAGGCUUCAGUCUUGACUUGAGCAUUUCUGUUGGUAUUUUUUACACCCACUCGUAUGUGAUCAGAAUGUUGACAAGUGCUUUAGCACUGAUAAAAAUGUA